AAAAAAGCUAUGGAUGAGGCAAUCAAAGCCAUGAAUGGAAUGGAUUUAGAUGGCCGGAGUAUUACAGUUGAUAAGGCUCAACCAAACCAAGGUUCAGGUAGAGAUCAUGAUGGUGACCGUCCACGUGGUGGCCGUGAUCGAGGUCGAGAUUCUGGUGGUGCACGUGGAUCUAACAGUGGAGAUUGCUUUAAAUGUGGGAAACCUGGACAUUUUGCUAGGGAAUGUCCCAGUGAAGGUGGUAGAGGAGGUAGGUAUGGUGGUAGGGAUGACAAAUAUAGUGGUGGUGGUGGCGGCAGUGGUCGAUAUGGUCCGGACCGAAAUGGAGAUAGAUCUGGUGGGCGCAAUAGGGGUAGU
This 354-nucleotide unclassified non-coding RNA is filed under the name Hevea brasiliensis (rubber tree). Lineage: Eukaryota; Viridiplantae; Streptophyta; Magnoliopsida; Malpighiales; Euphorbiaceae. The record is from RNAcentral.